This 28-nucleotide small RNA is filed under the name Bombyx mori (domestic silkworm). Its description in RNAcentral is "ovarian small RNA-13366". Lineage: Eukaryota; Metazoa; Arthropoda; Insecta; Lepidoptera; Bombycidae. The record is from RNAcentral.
CAGUGUCUUUCGCGCACAUUUGCGCACG